GGUGCCAUAGCUCAGUUGGUAGAGCAAAGGACUGAAAAUCCUUGUGUCCCCGGUUCGAUUCCUGGUGGCAACA
Molecule: transfer RNA, 73 nt
Filed under: Bacteroidales bacterium
Lineage: Bacteria; Pseudomonadati; Bacteroidota; Bacteroidia; Bacteroidales
Description: tRNA-Phe
Rfam family: tRNA
About the family: Transfer RNA (tRNA) molecules are approximately 80 nucleotides in length. Their secondary structure includes four short double-helical elements and three loops (D, anti-codon, and T loops).
Source: RNAcentral